This 421-nucleotide ribosomal RNA is filed under the name uncultured bacterium. RNAcentral describes it as "bacterial SSU rRNA". It matches the Rfam family "Bacterial small subunit ribosomal RNA", at positions 917 to 1333 of the family's 1533-position model. The record is from RNAcentral.
GGGCUCACACAAGCGGUGGAGCAUGUGGCUUAAUUCGAAGCAACGCGAAGAACCUUAUCCAGGGUUUGACAUCCCGGAUUAAACCGUCGAAAGACGGUCUACACCCUUUGGGUGGAACGGUGACAGGUGCUGCAUGGCUGUCGUCAGCUCGUGCUGUGAAGUGUCGGGUUAAGUCCCUCAACGAGCGCAACCCUUAUCGUUAGUUGCUAACAGGUAAUGCUGAGGACUCUAGCGAGACUGCCGGUGUCAAACCGGAGGAAGGUGGGGAUGACGUCAAGUCCUCAUGGCCUUUAUGCCCUGGGCUGCACACGUGCUACAAUGGUAGGUACAGAACGAUGCAAGACCGCGAGGUGGAGCAAAUCGCUAAAACCUGCCCCAGUUCGGAUUGGAGGCUGCAACUCGCCUCCAUGAAGUCGGAAUC